AGUAGACGUUCAGAGUUUGAUCCUGGCUCAGGAUGAACGCUGGCGGCAUGCCUAAGACAUGCAAGUCGAACGAAACGGCCCAUUGAAUACUGAGUACUUGUACAAAGUUUGAUUUGGAUUUUCCGUUUAGUGGCAGACGGGUGAGUAACACGUAAGUAAUCUACCUCAAAGUUUGGGAUAACGUUUGGAAACGGACGCUAAUACCGGAUGAUUUAUAUUUAGAUAACUUUAUAUACUAAAAGGAGCUUUUGCUUUGCUUUGAGAUGAGCUUGCGGCGUAUUAACUAGUUGGUGAGGUAAUGGCUCACCAAGGUGACGAUGCGUAGCCGAGCUGAGAGGCUAAUCGGCCACAUUGGGACUGAGACACGGCCCAA
RNAcentral lists this ribosomal RNA (373 nucleotides) under uncultured bacterium. RNAcentral's name for it is "bacterial SSU rRNA". It matches the Rfam family "Bacterial small subunit ribosomal RNA", at positions 1 to 334 of the family's 1533-position model. The record is from RNAcentral.